GACGAACGCUGGCGGCGUGCUUAACACAUGCAAGUCGAGCGGUAAGGCCCUUUCGGGGGUACGACGAGCGGCGAACGGGUGAGUAACACGUGGGUGACCUGCCCUCAGCUCUGGGAUAAGCCUGGGAAACGUGGGUCUAAUACCGGAUAUGACUCCAUGACGCAUGUUGUGGGGUGGAAAGCCUUGUGCGGCUGAGGAUGGGCCCGCGGCCUAUCAGCUUGUU
This 223-nucleotide ribosomal RNA is filed under the name uncultured bacterium. RNAcentral describes it as "partial 16S ribosomal RNA". It matches the Rfam family "Bacterial small subunit ribosomal RNA", at positions 28 to 250 of the family's 1533-position model. The record is from RNAcentral.